Molecule: ribosomal RNA, 405 nt
Filed under: uncultured Pseudomonadota bacterium
Lineage: Bacteria; Pseudomonadati; Pseudomonadota
Description: bacterial SSU rRNA
Rfam family: Bacterial small subunit ribosomal RNA
Source: RNAcentral
GAACCCUGAUCCAGCCAUGCCGCGUGUGUGAAGAAGGCCUUAUGGUUGUAAAGCACUUUAAGCGAGGAGGAGGCUCUUUUGGUUAAUACCCAAGAUGAGUGGACGUUACUCGCAGAAUAAGCACCGGCUAACUCUGUGCCAGCAGCCGCGGUAAUACAGAGGGUGCGAGCGUUAAUCGGAUUUACUGGGCGUAAAGCGCACGUAGGCGGAUCGAUCAGUUAGGGGUGAAAUCCCGGGGCUCAACCCCGGAACUGCCUCUAAUACUGUCGAUCUCGAGUUCGAGAGAGGUGAGUGGAAUUCCGAGUGUAGAGGUGAAAUUCGUAGAUAUUCGGAGGAACACCAGUGGCGAAGGCGGCUCACUGGCUCGAUACUGACGCUGAGGUGCGAAAGCGUGGGGAGCAAACA